Molecule: ribosomal RNA, 1078 nt
Filed under: Alteromonas sp. TS-2016C
Lineage: Bacteria; Pseudomonadati; Pseudomonadota; Gammaproteobacteria; Alteromonadales; Alteromonadaceae
Description: bacterial SSU rRNA
Rfam family: Bacterial small subunit ribosomal RNA
Source: RNAcentral
UUUGAUCAUGGCUCAGAUUUGAAACGCUGGCGGCAGGCCUAACACAUGCAAGUCGAACGGUAACAUUUCUAGCUUGCUAGAAGAUGACGAGUGGCGGACGGGUGAGUAAUGCUUAGGAAUUUNGCCUUUUAGUGGGGGACAACAGUUGGAAACGACUGCUAAUACCGCAUAANACNUACGGGUCAAAGGGGGCGCUUGCGCUCUCGCUGAAAGAGAAGCCUAAGUGAGAUUAGCUAGUUGGUGAGGUAAAGGCUCACCAAGGCGACGAUCUCUAGCUGUUCUGAGAGGAAGAUCAGCCACACUGGAACUGAGACACGGUCCAGACUCCUACGGGAGGCAGCAGUGGGGAAUAUUGCACAAUGGGGGAAACCCUGAUGCAGCCAUGCCGCGUGUGUGAAGAAGGCCUUCGGGUUGUAAAGCACUUUCAGUUGUGAGGAAAAGUUAGUAGUUAAUACCUGCUAGCCGUGACGUUAACAACAGAAGAAGCACCGGCUAACUCCGUGCCAGCAGCCGCGGUAAUACGGAGGGUGCGAGCGUUAAUCGGAAUUACUGGGCGUAAAGCGCACGCAGGCGGUUUGUCAAGCUAGAUGUGAAAGCCCCGGGCUUAACCUGGGAAUUGCAUUUAGAACUGUCAGACUAGAGUCAUCUAGAGGGGAGUGGAAUUCCAGGUGUAGCGGUGAAAUGCGUAGAGAUCUGGAGGAACAUCAGUGGCGAAGGCGACUCCCUGGAGAUAGACUGACGCUCAUGUGCGAAAGCGUGGGUAGCGAACAGGAUUAGAUACCCUGGUAGUCCACGCCGUAAACGCUGUCUACUAGCUGUGUGUUGUUUUUAAACGAUGCGUGGCGUAGCUAACGCGCUAAGUAGACCGCCUGGGGAGUACGGUCGCAAGAUUAAAACUCAAAUGAAUUGACGGGGGCCCGCACAAGCGGUGGAGCAUGUGGUUUAAUUCGAUGCAACGCGAAGAACCUUACCAUCCCUUGACAUCCAGAGAAUUUUCUAGAGAUAGAUUAGUGCCUUCGGGAACUCUGAGACAGGUGCUGCAUGGCUGUCGUCAGCUCGUGUCGUGAGAUGUUGGGUU